ACCGUACUCCUACGGGAGGCAGCAGAGGGGAAUUUUGGACAAUGGGGGCAACCCUGAUCCAGCAAUGCCGCGUGAGUGAAGAAGGCAUUCGGGUUGUAAAGCUCUUUUGUCAGGGAAGAAACGGUAGUAGCUAAUAUCUAUUACUAAUGACGGUACCUGAAGAAUAAGCACCGGCUAACUACGUGCCAGCAGCCGCGGUAAUACGUAGGGUGCAAGCGGUAAUCGGAAUUACUGGGCGUAAAGCGUGCGCAGGCGGUUGUGUAAGUCAGAUGUGAAAUCCCCGGGCUCAACCUGGGAAUUGCAUUUGAGACUGCACGGCUAGAGUGUGUCAGAGGGGGGUAGGAUUCCACGUGUAGCAGUGAAAUGCGUAGAUAUGUGGAGUAAUACCGAUGGCGAAGGCAGCCCCCUGGUAUAACACUGACGCUCAUGCACGAAAGCGUGGGGAGCAAACAGGAUUAGAUACCCGUGUAGUCCUUGAC
Molecule: ribosomal RNA, 479 nt
Filed under: uncultured bacterium
Lineage: Bacteria
Description: bacterial SSU rRNA
Rfam family: Bacterial small subunit ribosomal RNA
Source: RNAcentral